CUUAAGAUGACAGAAUUAAUGUGAUAGUUUUAAAACCUAUGAAUGGGCUACCUCUUAAGA
This 60-nucleotide transfer RNA is filed under the name Metacrangonyx sp. 5 MDMBR-2012. Its description in RNAcentral is "transfer RNA Leucine". The record is from RNAcentral. Lineage: Eukaryota; Metazoa; Arthropoda; Malacostraca; Amphipoda; Metacrangonyctidae.